RNAcentral lists this ribosomal RNA (447 nucleotides) under uncultured bacterium. Its description in RNAcentral is "partial 16S ribosomal RNA". It matches the Rfam family "Bacterial small subunit ribosomal RNA", at positions 29 to 523 of the family's 1533-position model. The record is from RNAcentral.
AGCGAACGCUGGCGGCAGGCUUAACACAUGCAAGUCGAACGCCCCGCAAGGGGAGUGGCAGACGGGUGAGUAACACGUGGGAACGUACCCUUUGGUUCGGAAUAACUUGGGGAAACUCAAGCUAAUACCGGAUAAGCCCUUAUGGGGAAAGGUUUACUGCCGAAGGAUCGGCCCGCUUCUGAUUAGCUAGUUGGUGAGGUAAUGGCUCACCAAGGCGACGCUCAGUAGCUGGGCUGAGAGGAUGAUAAGCCACACUGGGACUGAGACACGGCCCAGACGCCUACGGGAGGCAGCGGUGGCGACUAUUGGACAAUGGGGGAAACCCUGAUCCAGCCAUGCAGCGUGAGUGAUGAAGGCCUUAGGGUUGUAAAGCUCUUUUACCCGGGACGAUAAUGACUGUACCGGGAGAAUAAGCCCCGGCUAACGUCGUGCCAGCCGCCGCAGUAA